Molecule: long non-coding RNA, 24110 nt
Filed under: Olea europaea (common olive)
Lineage: Eukaryota; Viridiplantae; Streptophyta; Magnoliopsida; Lamiales; Oleaceae
Description: long non-coding RNA (OEUR_LNC008189)
Source: RNAcentral
UCUCAAGUGAAAUGUAAUGAUCUUUAACACCACAUGUAUUACAUAUUGAAAAAAUAACUAUGAUAUUGCCCAAAACGGUUUUGCGUGGCACUUCUUUUCAUGAAUCAGAAGCCAUGUGUAGCGUGAUUCGUUAAACAAACAACAUAAUGCCCAUGUUCAUAUUUCCUUACAAUUUAUGCUAAUAUAAACAGCUUUUAAAAUCAACAUAUAGCCCUUGUUUGAGCCCCCAUUUUAAGGGAAAUAAUGCAUUUUUAAAUAGUGAUUGAUGGAGUAUGUGUGGUUAAAAAUUAAAAAAAAAUUAUGGGUUUGAGUGUAAUAUUAUUUUAUUAAAAAAUAUGUGGUUGAAAAUGAAUUUUGAGAAGAAUGGAGCUCAAACAAGGGCAUAGAAUGAUGAAUGAAUCUUCCACUUGCUAUCCAAUUCUCAGCUACAUAUUAUGUAUUUUAGUGAGAGUACAUUUGGUCUCUGACUUGAUUCAUUUACUCUCUUCACCAAUACUCCAAUGGUGUUGAAUGAGUACCUAAACUCUAACUUCCAAAUUAAUUUUCACUUUUUUUUCCAAAUAGUAAUUAGUUUCUAGAUGUGAUUGUGGAGAUUUGGCAUGGAGAAGGAGAACUUUUGGAGAGAAAUUAUAGAGGCGAAAUAUGGUGUUAUGGAGGGAGGAUGGUGCUCAGUUGAGGGUCGUAGUUCUUAUGGAGUUAGUUUAUGGAAGUAAAUCCGACGAGAGUAGAGAGAUUUCCUAGAUAAAUUGAUGUUAUGUUGGAGAAUGGCAACAUUAUCAAAUUUUGGGAAGCUUGUUGGUGUGGAAAUUGGCUGUAAAGAGUGGAGCUUCCUUCUAUUGUGUUGCUCCGAUGCCAUCUGCUAUGGUGAAAAAGGUUGUACAUAUACAUAAUAGGAAUAUCAGCUGGAACAUUGCGUUUUGGAGGGAUUUGCAGGACUGGGAGUUGGAUGAUUAUGCGAUACUUAUGAACUCCUUGUAUGAGGCGUGCAUUAAGGCAGAAGAGGGUGAUUGUAGCAGAUGGAGUUUGGCACGGGGUGGUAUUUUCUCAAUUGGUACUUAUUUUAGGUCCUUAUUGAGACUUGCAUAGAGCUAAUUUCCCUGGAAGAUGGUAUGAAAAUGUAAACUGCUUCCUCGGGUGGCAUUUUUACUAUGAGCGGUUGUGAAGGGACAAGUGUUAACGGUAGAUAACCCCCUAAGAAGGAGUUUUUAUCUUACGGAGUGGUGUUAUAUGUGAAGGAGGAAUGGGGAGAUGAUUGACCAUUCGUUCCUUCACUGUGACGUUGCUCGUUCUCUUCGAUAUUCUAGCUUCUCAACACAUGGUUUAGGUUUUUCCGCAGUGUAUGGAGGAUGUAUUGGAAGCAUGGAGGAGAAAAUUUCAUAAUAAGGAUAGCAAGUUUGUCUGGAACCUCAUUCCAAGGUGCAUCGUAUAAUACCCGCACUUGAAUUUCCGGGUCUAAUUAUCAAAAUUGAAGAAUUUAGGGGCUCAUUUGAGGGUUAAUCCACCUUCUAAGACCUUGUAGCAAACUUACCAUAAGUACUAAUUCUCACAUGUUUUUGAUUAAAUUUUUGGUCAAACACUUACAUAGAAAAUUCUUGAUUUAUGCUUGAUUGACCAAACAUAAGGUAGUGUGUAGUGUGAAUGAAUAAAUGUAGGAAUGAUGGAGAGAUUCAUGCUCAUUUCACAAAUUUCAAGGAACAAAUUCUAUUAUUAUGAAUUUUUCCUUAAAGAUGCAUGACUAAUCUUGCUCUAUUUAAACCCCUCAUUUACAUUCACAUGCUACCACUCAAUAAUAUAUUUUUUUUAGUCCAAAUAAUACACACAUACACAUUCAUAAGCCAAGGUGGAAGUUGUAAAGGGAUCAAGUCUCUAUUACUCUUCCUUUCAAACUUCACUGUAAGUAUGCUGUCUAUGUUGAAUUAUUGUUAUGUUAUGAAUUUCAAGAAAAUUAUUAUGGGUCACAUAUGUUAUGAUAUGAUUAUAAUUAUAUUAAGGAGACCGGAGUUUAGUAGCGUUACACAUAAGAAUUCUUACCACCUACGUUCGGUAAAAUUCUUGUGUCUCCAUUAUGUUGAUUAUGAUUAUUAUGCUCUUUUAAGUCAUACACAAUAACAAUUCAUGGCGUAGUUUUUGAGAUUUUAUAAAUCUCACUCUAUGAUAAUUCCCCCCUUUCAGGCAAUUAAUGGUUCGAGACAGUCAACAUGAAGAUGGCAAUGGGGCUAAGGUUAAUAAAUUGUGUUGUAUUUAAAACACAACUUUGAAUUUCAAAUUUAGUUGUUAUGUUGAAAUUAUUUUCUUUCUUUCAUUUUUCGCAACUACAUGAUAAAACCAAAAUUUAUUUAUUUAUUGGAGAAAAAUAAAAUUAUUUCAUGUUUUUAUUUUAGUUCUUAUGAAAGAAUUAAGUUUUAUUUAGUGACUCUCGAAUAGUCAAGGAUUCGGACCGUCACACAUCGUCUGGUGUGUGUAGAGGACAGAAACAACCGCUGUUUUGACGAUCUUUCAAGGACUACAGAGCAUAUCAAAGAAUCAUUUUAUUUGACCUUGUAUAAUUGGUUUAAUACUGCGGCUACUACUCGUAUAGACGGGUUGCCCAAUUUUAUAUCGUUUCUUUCUUGUAUAAAUUGAUAAUACACUUUUUAUGUAUUAUCCGUGAUUAAUAAAAUAUUUGAUUACUUAUCAAAAAAAGAAAAAAAUGUUUCUAGACAAAUAUACCUUUGCAGUGAUAUAAUAAACACAAUUUUUUAUAUGAAAUAUUAUUUCAGAAUACAUACAAUUAUGCACACGAUGCAUCAGCUUGCCUCAACUUACAUCAUAUAUAGCUGACACAUUAUAAGAUUUUUUUGCAUAAUUAUAACAGGUUUCUGGAUGGGACUUACCAGUUACGACAACUAGGAUUAGAUUUGUCAAACUAAUUGAUUUCUCCCCACUUUGUAAGUUUACUGGAAUAUAACAGACAAGUCAACACACUUUCUAAGCAAAAUAUCCUACUUUGUAUUCAUAUGCUUUUCAUUUCUAUUGAGGCAUAGUGCAUAACUAAACAAGAAGUCAUACCUCGGCUAAGUUUAGAUGCAUAAUCUUCAUCCGAAUUUUUUUUCUUUGAUAAGAAUCAUAUUCUUUCAUCCAAGUUAACCAUAUCCACUCAGUUUUCUCACAUUUCAUCUCCAGUUGAUGAUACUUUUCCGACUCCCAUGCCCAUUCUAUAUUUAAUGAUUCAUCUUUUGUAUAUUGCAUUUUUUUUCAUACCCCUAAACACCAAUGUUAGUCUUCUCUCAAUUCCAUCCGCAUUUAACAAUAUGCUUGCUCUUACAGUACAUUCACUUCCUAUUAGAUUGACUUUCCAUGUCAGAAAUAUGAUAGUUUUAAUAAAUGCCAAUAAGCCACAACUGUAUCAGCAUCCAUAAUGCUACUCCCAUAUAUCAAUUACCACAUGAGAAACAUACCCUCUCCGUCCUACAAAGAUAGGUUGCUUCCAUUUUCACACAAAUUAAGAAAAUGUAAUUAAUAUAGUUGGAACAAUAAAUUUUACUUAUUUUUAUAAUAUACCCCUACAUUAAUAAUGGCUUAAAUAGGAGUUAUUCAUAUUUGUUGAUAUCAAGCACAUUAAAUAGGGGCAUAUUAGAAAACUAAGAAAUAAUUAUGCUCUAAACAAGGAAAGUGACCUACAAUUCGGAACAUACGAUAAAGGAAAGCAAACCUAUCUUUGCAGGAUGGAAGGAGGAGUUAAUUUCAUAUGCUUUCAAUUUUCAUACGAAAACCAAAAAUUAGACACCAUGAUUGGACAAAGAAUUUCAAAUUCAAUCAGUAACAUUUACUUGAUAUUUCUUACAUCUCUUGUAUACUUGUAGAGUUACCAUUCCAUAUAUGAAUUCAUAUGCAUUUUAGGAUUCUUAGUUAUAGAAAAUCAUCCAAACUUCUGAUGGUGGUAUAACAAGAAAAAAUUAUCAUGGUUAUCACUGAUUACUUAUUACAAGUAUCAAUAUCAUUAACUUGACAUAUAGAUAUAAAAAGAUUUUGAGAGAAUAAAUUUAUGAAGCAAAAGAAGAAGAGAGAAACCUAUUCAGCUUAUAUCGUUAUAUGCGACCCCUAUGGCAUGAUAACUUAAUUGUCCUUUAACAUCAUAUGACAUAUCAAGUAGCAUCCACGAAAGCUCAAUAUAUUGAAUUAUUUAAUGAUGCAAAUGAAUAUAGUAUCAAAGUCAAGCAAGGUAUGUAAUGUGCAAGCAUGGAUGAUCACAAGUAACGAUUAAUCUACCAGCAAAUGAAAAUCACCAGUAGAGAAUUCAUUCUAAAAAGAAAUGGGGUUUGUCAUUCUAUGACCCCAACCAUUGUAUGAAGUGCCAUCCUUAUUGUAAUUAGUAACCAUUUCUAAAGCAGGAGGUAAAUCCUGCUGGAUGGCUAACAAGAUGGCUUUCUGAAGGAUCAAAGAUAUUUUGCUGAGAAAAGAGGGCGCGUCCCCUGAGCCUCUGUCUACAUAAAAAGUACAAAAAAGUAAGCAGAUAGCAAUUAGCAUCAUAAUUGUAUUUCACCAAAUAUGUUGUAUCAUAAUAGUCAUUGACUAGUUAGCAGUAGCUAGAAGAAACAAACUUAAGAGUAGCAGAGUUACACCAAAAAUGUUUAAAGUUCCUCCCAUGUGAAGAAUGGUCCAGCAGAGAGAAUAUCAAUAUAUUCAUUAAUGAACAAGUAUUAUAUUAUGAUAUUCUUGAUUUGUAUCUAUCCUCAUUAAUGAUUUCCAAAUUCCAACACCAGAAAUACUGGACCAACGUGUAUAAAAUCUAGCAUUAUCUGGUGCCUAGUCUUUUAACACAUUCCAACCUUAGAAAUUGGAGCUUAUUAUUGUUAAAAUGCAUUUCUCAUCUUACUUCCAGUGCCAUAAAGGCCUUAAUAAAGUAGGAUUUAUUGUUGCACCUAUUAAAUGUGCUAGUCGUUAAAGAACGACCAUUAUAGGAAAUGUUACAUAAUAUAUCAGUAACUGGAAUAGUAAUCACAGGUUUCUGUCUGCCUUUCUAGAGGUUCCUGACCUGCAUCUCAUGGAGACACAUCUCUACCUAGAAGAGUGCUGACCAUGAGGAAUUUAGGAGUGGAAGUUGUGAAGCUUUAAAAACAACUCAUAUAUCAACCACUCUUUCAAGUUCUGUUCUAAUGUGUCUGCCUCGCAGAUUCUCUUGUAUGCUAUUGCAGUUUAUUAACAAGGGUAUAGAAACAAAUGCAUAAGCAAAAUAAUAAAAAGUUAGAAGUAAGAAAUAUUAUAGGAAUUCAUGUUUAUCGUCCACACUUUCAGUUUUUAAAGCCAAACUAUAGAAGAUAUCUUUUGUUUUAAAACUUUCAAAUUUUACACUGAAAUAGCCCUUCAAAAUAUAUAAACAAAAGUCUUUUGACUCUGUCCAAAUGUUUCCUUUCAAAGUUUAUAUACCAAUCAUGUUGUUGCCUCUUUUACAAAUAUAUUUACCGAUCUCAGAACACUACUACUCUUCCUUUCAUCCAAUAACAUAGAUCACCUCAAAAUAAACUGUAACCUGUCACUCAAUCUAAAUGCUGAUAGCCAUAGUGAGAGAGAGGAAAAUUUUCCUAUGAAAUGUCCAACUCUUAUUUGUUUCAACUUUGUUUUCUUGGCACAUUCUGUCCACAGAAAUAGAUCAACCAUCAAUGGACUAAUUGAGAGAGAGGAAAAGUUUAGCCUCUUUAACACUUAGAUCUGAGUCUUUUCUCUAUCCCAUAAUAUUCUUAUACAUAGAAUCUUUUCUCAACUGAAACUGACAACAUCUAAUUUUGGACAGCCAUCCUAGAUGAAUAAAGCUUUUAUAUAAAGGAUCCUAUACCAGAAGCAUCCAUAAAUAAUUAGACAUACCCAAAGAGUUGCUCCUGUUGGACAUGGACUUAGUUAUGAAUUCACUCCUGUUGCUUAGAAUCUCUUUCCUCUGAGAGAAACAAAGAUAUCAAACCUCAAAAGCCCAACUACUUCCCUUAAAAAAUUGAAGAUUAUCACUCUAUGUUAGACUGUUAGUGAUACCAAGCCUGUUUGGCCCAACCCAGGGCCACAGUCUCCAGGUAUGCAGGGCAUUUUAUACUUUUUUGUUAUUUAUAGAAAGUAACCAAAAAUAAAUAAUAAAAGUAAUAGCAAGGCAGUGGCCCAACCUGAGCCUGCCAGAAGUGCAGGCCAUACGCCCAUGGGCAGCUGCAACUGCUCACUUGACCACUCUACUCUACAGUAGCUUCAACGAGUACCACAUCUUUUGGAAUAUACAAAUGUUGAUUUAUAAACAAAUAAUAAAUGGCUAUAAUCAAAUUGAUCUGGCAGCCACAGGAGAAGAAAACUCAACAAAUAUUAACCACUAGAAACUGAACUAAGUAGAAUAGUGAUUAAGUACUCACCAUUUUACCUUUGCUUUUCCUUCUGACAUUAAGAUCCCCUUUCCCUCUCUUGCUGGCUUCUUUCACCUGCUCAGAUGAACGAAAAUAAAAAAUGAGUUCACAUUAAGAAUUAAAGUUUCAUAAUAUCUGCCAUAGCUACCUUAUUGGUACACGCAAUUAAAAAAUUAAGAAAGUUGAAAUAAUAAGAUUCUCAGUGAAGUUACAAUCUCCUCAGAGAUGCUUUAUAGAAAAAAUGACACUUCAUGUACUCUAUAUUGGUUACCGAACUUAAAAUCUUUAGAUUUCAAAGUACUGGCUUAGGAUUCAACUGCAUUUUAGUCUUGCAUAUCAAUAAAUAACAUACACUUAAAAACCACAUCUUGGAUAUGUUGUAUAUGCUUAACCAUGACUAAAAUGAGACGCUAAGGAUUCCGAGCAAAACCUUGAUUUAUGUUACAAACUAAAGUAAAUUUCUACUUCACUGUCAUAGUGCCAUUAGAUUUCAUGCUCAGUUUACUGUAUCAUACAUAUCUUUUGUUAAUAUUCCUAAAUAGUAGAACUUUAUUGUCUCUGGCCCCCACUAUAACACUUAUCUUGACAUCUUAUCAUAGGCUAUUUCUAAAUCAAUAAAAAACCAAGUGGACAUCAUUUCUUUCUCAAUUAUUUCCCUUCAAUAGCUUACAGUAGAUCUGCCUGACAUAACAAUCAAACAGUUUGUCUAAACCCUUUGAAUCCUUAAUCCAUUCUCAGUAUUGUGAUUGGUACAAUCUUAAAUAUAUCAUUUAUUCUCUUACGUAGUCUCUCCAUCCUUUAUGCUUAUAAGUACAUGCUACAAACCUCUUCCACCACUUGUUAGACUUCUUUUUACUUUUUCAAAAUCUCAUUGAAUAAUUCUGUCACCCAUAAAAUAACCACAAGAACAAACACUUGCAUAAAUUAUUUGUAAUUUUAUCCCAAUCAAUUUGUUUUCUCAGAUUCAUCCUUCGAAGUUUAUAGUAAAACUCAGGCUUCAAUUAGAUCUUUGUUAUUUUGCUAUUAAAUCUGUUUUCCACAGUAUUCAGCGCCAAUUUUAAAUUUCACAUGUCAGUAGUUUCUAGGAGGCUCUUUAAAUUAGUCUUAGGUCGGGUCAAUUUCCAUUUUCGUAAUUCUUGAUGGUCUAGAAUAGGUUACUAUUAGUUUUCUAUUUAGUUUCAGCUUGAGAGAGUUCUAUGUCCAAAUAAUGGAUCUUUCGGAACCCAUAAGCAUUGAGGAGAAAGAAGAAUCUCUUCAAUGGAAAUUCACUUAGCUAUCUCUUCAAGACUCAGUGUAUCCACCGUUAUUGGGUAGUUUAGGACACCUUGUUGUCUCCAGGUUGGUACUCUUCUUUGCUUAAUAGAGGCUAGACUACUAAUUACUUAGAGAGCAAUUGAAUGUUGUCUUGUGAUCGAGUGAUGUAAUCAAACCAUUAGUGUGAUGACAUGGGAUUGUAGGUCUGACACCUUGUUUUCUUUCUUUUCGUCUCUUAUCUUUCUUUGGUUUUACCUUUCCAGUAUUUGAAGAUAGCUUCUUUAAUUCCAAAAAAUUCAAAUCACCACAUUCAAACCCAAAUUUCAAAACAAAAGGUUCAGAGUACAUGUGGAGAGAGGAGGAAGAUUACUUGUAUAUGAAGCAAUGACCUCUACGAGAUCAUUUGUUCAAUCCCACUAAAUUCUUUUUGAAGAUAUUAAAUUGAAACUCCCAAUAAAUCUGAGGCUGGCCCCUAAAACACCCGGUCUAGCAAUAAUUUCAAUUAAAUAGCAUAUCCAUCGUAAUUCUUAUGCAAUUUCAGCAGAUUGAUAAUAUGAAUGUUGCUAAGCAAAAAUAAUUACAUAAUGAAACAGAACGUUAAUGGUAAUACUCACAGUCAUCCAUCUGCAGCGCAAUGCCACAUCACAAACAGUCUUCUUUUUCAGUUGCACAGCAAUUUUUGCAUAGCAGACUAUCAUCGAGUGAGUGGCAUAUCUGUAGUGUAUCUAAACACUAUAUAUUAUCCAAUCACACAUGAAAGAGAAGAAACAUGAUAUAGAUCAAAUCUAGAAAUAAGUAUUUCAUAUUGAUUAUGCAAACCACAACAGACACUUGAAUAUUGCAAUGAAGAGGUAGCAAGAAAAUUAGUUACACAUGUGACUUAUUGAAAAAUUCAGUCAAAACUCAACUCUUAGAAACUUUCCAUAGAACAUCUAUCUGCUCAGAUAAAAAAAUCCACAUCUGUGGUUUCACACGUUAAUAUCGCAAAGAAGAGGCAGCAGAAAAUUAGCUACACGUGUGACUUAUUUAAAAAUUCAGCCAAAAUUUAACUCUCGGAAACUUUCCACAGAACAUCUAUCUGCUCAGACGAAAGGUCCAUAUCUGGGGUUUUACAUUCUAGACUAGUUUUGAUAGAGAGACCCAAGUCCACCAUUUACAGGAAAGUGAAGGAAAUAAUCCGUAUUUACAACCAAAUCCAUGUUUCUAUUCAUUCUUAAAUGCCACACAUACAUUAGUACAAAGAAUAUCAAUGUCCCCUACAAGCUGGGGGGUUACAUACAACCAAGGCAGAGUGGUUUAUGAAGAAACUCAUGCAGAUUUCUCCCAAAAGCUAUAGCUAGGAGGAGAGGCCCAAAUAAACCCUUGAUCGCCACGGAUUUAGGAAUCCUUGAUCACCCAUGAUUCAAGAAACCUUACUUCGAGAAUCCCUUAUGAAGUAGGUCCAUCAUCUGAUGCAAGGUGAUGCAACCACUUCUUCCAAAAGCUAUAGCCAGAGGAGAUGCGCAAUCAAACCCUUUAUCACCCAGGAUCAGGCCAAGAAUCCAUCCCAAACACUAUUUGUUUCAGCCUUACUUUGAUUUCUUUACGAAAUAGGCUUACCCUCAUGUUCAAGUGUUCAUCAGAAACAAUGGUUUGCCAGCAUAAGAAUUUCGACUAAAUCAACACAAAAUGGAGGUAGUAUAUUCUAUAGUUGUCUGUUGUGAUAAUAUGCUGACGAAAAUAAUAAUAAUUAGCAUGCCUAUUUGGAUCCUUUUGCAUUUUUUUUUCCAAAAUUGUUUUAUCAAAUGCUAAAAUGACAUACUCAAAUUGGGAAAUCACUGUCAUUGGGAACAAACCAAAUCUAAUUAUGUUAUGACUGCACUUGGAAACGUAGAUACAUGCGAACUAUUAAACUGUCAUACAAGAAAUAGAGAACAUGCAUAGACAUGAAAAUAUAACUAAUGCAGAAGGGCACAGAAGCAUGGCAGGUUCUUACAAAAUCUGAUAAAAAUUGUAUUCAAGAGACCAAAAAAAUAAAAAAUAAAAGAAGAAGAAGUUCACAACCAUGUUGUUGCUUGCAAGAUAAUUAAUGAGCCAGAAUUUAUGAUAUUAUGUCAGCUGUUACCCAAACAAAGACUAGAAAACAUGUUUUGCUAGAUUAACAGAAAAUAACAAUCUCCAUGGAUCCUUUUUUAAACAAUAAAAGAUUAUAUCAUCAUAAGUAUCUGAUAAAAUGGCAUCAAUCAAAUAAAUAUCGUGAAAAGUGUAAGAUGUCUAAUUGGCCCAGCACAAUCAAAAGCAAUAAAAGCAAGAUAGUAACAAAAUCAAAAUUGGCCAAACGGCUAGGAGAUUAAAAAGUACUCUGGCUGUUUAUAGAUGUGUGUCAAGUUUUAGUAGGGUAAAGCUCAUGACAGAUAAGAAAGAUUAGAACCUUAAUGCCAAACAGCACAGAAUAGAUAAAGCAUCUAAUCUUUACUCAAUCAUUAAAUUUUCCAGUCACAAUAACUCCAUUGUACUAUGAUGUGAAUAAUCACUUCAGCAUUGAUGAUUAGAAAUCAGAAAAGCCAACUAAAUAAGCUGCUUUCUAUGAAAUAUAUAUCAUCGACCAUUUUAUAUGAGUGUUUAUGGGGACGACAAAGAAGUAAAAUAACAAAAAGGAAUGUUUAUUAUUUUAUUGAAAUUAUCUGUCAUUGUGUCCACACAAUUGUAAAAGGAAAACAACCAACUCUCACACCUAUCAGAGAAAAAAUAGUGGCUAAUAAAAAUAUAUUUCUACAUAACCCCAGCAUUCAAAGUAAAUUACAUUCAUUGUAUGUCUUUGUGUGUGCUGUCACAAGAAACCACAAGAGCCCAAACAACAGAGACAUCUCUUCUUGAAAAUCGAAAUUAAUUAUAUUCAGCACCUGUAAAAAAUAUUUAAAUAAUAAAGAUGGUCCAAUAAGAAUCUCCCUGUGUAAAUACAUAAUUAAUUUCUCAUAAAUAAACAAUUCAGCCCAAAUAAGAACACCAACACCAAAUCAUCAAGAACCCAAAAAUCCCAACAGAAUUCUCAACAUUCAAAAUGUUCAGAAUAUUCUAAAUUACACUCACUUGGCAAGGCCUUCCUCCAAGAUAGAUUGCUCUUCAGGAGCCCACUCAGUGGAGAUUUGCUUCUGGUACUUCAACGUUGGGACGGCACCAUUAUUCAGUUCAGGUACAGAAUUCCCAUUCCGCAAAAUUGAACCAGGGAUUUGGAUGGACCCUUGUUUGUGCGCUUCACUUGAGGUAGCCAUCAAAACAAUCAAAUGCUCGAGAACCUGCAGGCCGACCACUAAUUUAGGUGUUGAAGAGACGAAAAAUAUUCAGGACCAAACGGUGUUGAACAGAAGGUCAAUAUGAAGCAAAGGGUAACCUGAAAUGAAUGUAGCAACGGAAGCGCCGAAGAGGCUUGUGACGUACAGAUGGAACAGCCUUUCUCGGUUUAUAUAUACGUGCUGGAUGGGUAAAUGCGUGCUAUAUAGGUUUGGGUGAAAACCAUUCUCUAAAUUAUAAUAAAAAGGGACGAAGGUCUAUUAUCAAUAGUAAAUUAAUUCAAAUUUAUUAUGUAUGACGUCAUUUUUUAUUUUUUAUUUUUUUUAUGUUAAACAAAUUUUUUUCACAUAUUAUGUCACUAACAUUAAAAAAAAAAAAUUAUGUCAAACAAAUGUUCUUUCACACAUCAUGCCACUAACAUUAAAAAAAUAAUAAUAAUUUUAGUAAAUAUAAAUUAUCAUGAGGAAAAAAAUUCUUCGCACGUGAACUUUAAAAAAUAUAUAAAAAUAAACUCUCUACAUAGUACAGAUAGAUGGCAAAUCACGUGUGGAGAGUUGGCAAACUCUCCGUACAGUACGAAGUGAAAAAAAAUCUCUCCGCACAGUGCGGAGAGAUGGCAAACACUAUGGCAAAACUCUUUGCACAGUACGAAAAAAUGGCAUAUGUGCGGACACUGUCCUCACAAAGUGUGAAGUAAAAAAAAAAAAUCCUCUCAGUGCGAAGAGUUAACUCUUCGUAAAGUGCAAAGUUAUAUAUAUAAAAAAAAAAAAAAAAACCCCUCUUUGCACAGUAACUUAUUAGUGUAUGAAUUUUAGUUUUUUGAAAUUUUUUUGAAACAAUAUCUAUAAAUAUUUCUAUGAUAUAAGAAAAUAAUUGUAAACUAUUUUUACAAUUACGUAAUAGUAUCGUGUCAUCUAAAAAAAAUAUACUUAUAUAUUUCAUACUUGAAUAAAAAAUAUACGAGAUUAUACAAAUUAUUUUGAUUGUAUUCUUUGAUAGUGUUGCUAUGAUUGAAUUAAGUAUGAAAAUUAUAUUUCUAAAUUUUGUGUAAUUCAAUAUUAAAAAAUUAAAUAUUGUGCACCAUAUUUAUAUGCAUUUAUAUUUUGUGUUUCAUAUAUAUUUAAUAUUUAUUUUAUGUUUAUGUUGAAAAAACAAAAUUCUAAAUUUUUUUUUGAAAUUUGAUUUGGUAAGUGAAUUGAUGCAGGAGAAUUCGAGUCGAGUGAUGCUGAUUUGUCAGAUAGCACGAUGAUGGCACUGAAAUACCAUGAAAUGGUGGAUCGACGCAAAGAUGAAAAAGUGAAUCGCAAUUAUUUUCUUGAUUGGGGGAAUUGGACACAUCUUUGGUAAUUUAGUCAUAACUUUGGCUACGAUUAUCAGAAUCGCUAUUAUGACCCCAAUUCGGAAAACUCUCUUCGGCGAGCACAUCGUGGCCACUCAACUAUGCUUGGUGGGCAUCAAUUUCGAGCCCAAAAUCUGCUAUUUUCUUUUACGAAAUUCAAUUUUUAGUUAUUUUUUUGCUAUUUAUGGUAAUAUUUUGUUUCCUUUUUUCCAUAUGUUAGAAAACUCAAAUUGCACCAAAUUUUUGGCAACCUACUUCUUUUACUUAAUAUUUUUAUUUUGGUAUAAUUUCAAGAUUUUGCCAUUUUUGGUAAUUUUCCCGUAAUUUCGUAUUUUAUAGUUAUUUAACCCGGUUUGUGGAUUAAUUUUGGUCAUUUUACAUUAUUAAUAAUAUUAAGUUGAUUUCAGAGUAUUUUCUCUGAUUUUCGGGUGUUUUCUUUCGUUUCUUUCUUGCGAAUCAUCAGCUACAACAAAUUAAUAGAAUAAUCACUAUUCUAUCCGGCGUCAUGAAUGUACGUUGUUCUGCAUUCUCAGUAUUUGUAAAUGCAAAUAUCGAUAUAUAAAAAUACAGUAAGCUACAAAUACGGUAGAUAGCAUAUAUAGUAAGUUGCAAAUAAGGUUGGCAGCAUAUAUGGUAAGGUGUAAAUACGAUAAGUUGUUUGCAAAUACGGUAAACUGUAAAUACGGUAAGCAGCAUAUACGAUAAGCUAUUUGUACGGUAAGCUACAUAUAUAGAUUUAUAAUUUGUUAUAAAUGUAUAAAACUUAUUUAAUAUUGAAUUUCUUAAGUAUUAAAUAUUGUUUCCUUUUUUGUAAUUAUAUUUUCGAGAAUUAAAAGAAAAAGUGGUUAUGAAAUUGCUAAAUUUUAAAUAUGUUUUUUUGUUAAAAAUAAAAAAGAUUUUUUUAUGUUAAAAAUUAUUGUAAUUUUAUUAGUGUAAUAAGAAGUUUUAUUAUGCAUUUUGUGAAGAAUUUUGUUCAUGGUGAUUAACAAAUAUUCUUCCACACACGCAUCAUACCAACAACAUUAAAAUAAUAAUAAUAAUUUUAGUAUAUAUAAACUCCAUGAGACAAAAAAAAAGACUCCACAAAGUGUGGAGAGAUGUCAAACUAUCUAUCCACACAGUGUGAAGAGAAAAACAAAAACUCUCGAGACUUUAUCUGCAAAUUUUAAGAGGUUUUUUCUCAAACAACUUUUGAGCAAUGCAUUGAACACUUUAAUUUCUGGCCUACAACCUGAAAGUAUAAUUUCAUUGAAAAUUGUAUUCGCUUCUAAUGUCUAAGAGCUGUUAUCGAGUAAGUGUAAAAUAUUGAAUUUGGAUAGUACCCUAGAGCCUUCAUUUGUAAAAGCAAUGCCAUGGUACUAUCAAUAUCUCAUUCUUUGCACAACUCACAUAUUGUUUCAUUGUAUGAAUAACGAGAAAACUCAUUUCUAAUAUCGUAAAUAUGAUUUUUUGCAUGCUCAGAAAUUGAGCUGUAACUGGAAUUUAAAGAAAACAUAAUUGAUUUUGAGCCAUGUUUUUCGACUCUGUUUCGUUGUAUAUACGAAAAAAUUAUAAUCUUGAAAUUGACUUGUAAUUAAGGAAUUUGAAAACAAUUCUCCACACUGUGCAGAGAGUUUUUUUUUACUCCGCACUGUACGAAGAGUUUGUCAACUCUCCGCAUAUGGUUCAACUCUCUUCACACUGUGUGGAGAGGUUUUUUUUUCUCCGCACUUUUUUUUAUUACUCUGAACAUGGUUCAACUCUCUACGCACUGUGCGGAGAGAAAAUCUCUCCGCACUGUGAGGAGAGUUUUGCCAUAGUGCGAACCAACUCUCCGCACUGUGCAAAGAGUUUGCCAACUCUCCACACAUGGUUCAAUUUUCUCCGCACUGUGCGGAGAUGUUUUUUCCUCUCCGUAUCUUUAUUAUUUUUAUUUUUACUCCGCACUCGGUUUAACUCUUUCGGCACUGUGCAGAGAGUUUUUUUUUUUUCAAUUUUACAAUAUUGAAUUACACAAAAUUUAGAAAUACAAUUUUCAUAUUCAAUUCAAUCAUAUCAACACUAUAAAAAAAUAAAAGCAAAAUAGUUUGUUUAUUUCUUAUUCAAGCAUAAAAUAUACAAACAUAUUUUUUCUAGAUAACAUACUGCUAUACAAUUGUAAAAAUAAUUUACAAUUAUUUUCUUAUAUCAUGAAAAUAUUUUCAGAUAUUGCUUCAAAAACUUUCCAAACAAACUAAAACUCAUACAUUAAUAAAAAUACAAUAAAUACAAAAUUCAUGCAACACACGUGAUAGAGACUAGUAUCUAUAGAAAGUGGAAAAUUUGAUUGAAGAAACUAACUAAGAUUAUCUAAGAAUAAACAAUAAAAAAUUUAAUUUAUCAAAUGUAAUCAAAUAAUUUAAUUUUUAUAAAUAAAUAAAUUAAUUAAAAAAUUAAUAAUUAUAUUAAUGUCGACAAUAAAAUGAAUUAUUAAAAAUAUAAAAAAAUUAAAUAGAUACGUAAACAGACAAACGCUCAUCUCGCCUAGCUCCCUUACGCCUUAAACGGGUGACGGAGAGAGAAGUGGGAUCUUGCUCUAUCCUAUUGACAUCCCUAAAUAAACAAAAGAUGUGAAAAUUAAUAAGGGUUGAUGAUGAAAAAAAAAAAUUUGUUGGGAACACAAAUGUAAUAAUAAGAAAAUUUUAUAGAUAUUCAUUGUAAUUGAAAUGUGAUAUGAAUAUAUUUACCCAUUUAAAAUCAGUUGAUCCAUGACUGACUUAUUUUGAUAAAUAAUGGUGACAUGCAAAUUAUAUAUGUGACAUAUCAGGGCCUACGUGGCUUUGUUCUUCUACCAAAGUCAUAAUUAAAUUUAUUUGACGACUUGAUUAUUUGAAAAAAAAAAAAAAAAAGAUUGAUUAAUGAAAAUAAAACUUAGCCCCUAUCUGACUUUCUUUAAAACAAAAUAAUUUAUUUUUCAUAUUUAUUUUCAAUCACACGUACAUAAUAAAAUGUUUUACACUUAAACUCAAAAAUUUUUCUUACUUUUUAACUACAAAUUAUCAAAAAAAUCACUAAUCAAAAUAUCAUUUUUACACAAUAAUGACCAUUCUAUUGAAGAAUCACUACUUUCAUCUUCGGUAAUAAAGCCUAUUCGAUUUUUUUUAAAAUAUAUUUUCAAUAAUCUGAAUAAAAUUAAAGAAUAAAUAAUUAAUUAGACCGGGCUCAGGCCAAAGAUAUUUCAAUUCCCCACAAUCGACCUUCCCUAUCUCAUUCUUGGAAGUCCUGGAAUGUCCUGCUGGGGAGGAGAUUGGAAGACUAAUUUCAUGUUUUGUAUAAUUAGAAAUUUUGAUUGAAAUUCAACUCAAAAUUAACAAUUAAUUUUAAUCAAAUAUUUUAUAUGAUUCACAACUUUUCAACCACACAUUCUAUCAACAUUUUUAUCAAAAUUUAUUAAAAAUCUAAUUUUAAUCUUUAUCAACGGAGGCUAAAAGUUAAUAUUAUUAUUAUUAUCUAGCACCAAUAGUGCUAGUGCGCUCAUUCAGGUCUCUAUAUUUUAUAGGUUCAAUCAAAUUAAUCAUAGUCUUGUUUGGUUUCCAUUCUUUCCUCAUUAAAAUGAAAAAUAUGAUCGUUAUUCAUCACAUCAAGUCAUCAAAUUUGAAUUUAUAUCUCUUGUGUGGAACUUAUAACGACUAUAUUUUUCAAUCUCAUUUUUUCAAAACUGAUAAACAAACGAGGGCUAAAUGAGUCAAUUAUUUAAUGCAAUGUAACUGUGCUUAACACUAUUAGAGAUGAAUAGCAUUAUUCAGAAGCUAAUUAUAUUCACACUACAAUUUUUAUUACUUACAUUUUAUUUGCACUUAAAUUCCUUCAUCUUAUUUGUUGUUGCACUUAUGUUCCCAACUUUUUUGUGCAUUAUAAUCUUUAAUCAUUCAUUAAAUUGAACUUCGAGUUCAAUUACGAUUUUCAUCCAAAAGCUCAACGUAGAGAUCAUCUUACCUUUUCAAAAAAAUAAAAAAUGUUAAAAGUGAGAAAUUCUCUCCCCUCAUUUCAAAGCGCACAAGCACAAAACAUUAAUACAAUCAUCAUCGAAAAUGAGAUGUAAUUAAUAAAAAAUUACAAAUAAAAAUUCGAUAAAAUAAGUUAAGAACAUAAAUAUUACCAUGAACGAAAACCUUAAAUAUAAUUACUCAUUAAAUAAAUAGAGAAAAACAAUUUCCUUGUAAAAGCUAAAAACAUUAUUAUUAAUUACUUAGAAUUGAUCAUAAAAUAAAACCGAACCAAAAAAAAACUAUACACGAAGAAAGAUGCUCAAAAUAUACACGUAACAUGUUCACACAGUCAAUCUAAAGCCCUCUAACUCAAACAAGUCUCGACGCUCAGCAGAUUCUCUCUACAAUAGCAACGAACCCAAAACAAAAACAAAAAGAAGAAGAAUCGGUACAAAGAAAUCCACCACACCCCUAUCACAACCUGCAAUGUACAAAACAUGAUCAUCAGGUUAUCCAUAUAUAAUCAUUUCAAUUAACGGAUCUGUUUUAGUUACGAAUAAUGUUAUUCACAGUCAAUGAUUGCAAUAGUUAUUCUCUGUGGCAGCUUCUGAUACGAGUCAUUAAUUUUCUACUGUGAUUUUGCUACCUCAAAUAAAAAGCUGCAACAUAGAAUGACUAUUGAAGUGAUUGAUUAUGAAUAAUAUUGCUCCUUGUUAUAUAUCAACCAUUCAUUAAAUUUGUCUUCAAAACUUAAUAGGAUGAAAGGAGUCACAGGAAGGACUGAGACCAAAUAACUUAUGGAGGACCAUAACUUAGGAGCGCGAUCUAACAUAAAGCUUUCGUUAUGAUUAAUUAGCGACCAACCCGAAUACACCAAUAUUUAAUGGGAAGCAUUGGGGAGAAAGUAGGUUAAAUGAACAAAACUAAUGUCCAUAGACGGAUAGGCAAACUGAAACACCAAGAUUUCCCAGACUCAUAGUCAAUGAUUUAGUAGUCUCCUAAAAGAAAGAACUGCAUUUAGCCGCAUUGAGUUCAUUCACCAAAGUCAUUUCUUAUUUUAAAAUUUAAUACCUGUUUGUGAUGAAAUAAAAAUGAUGUAUAUGAUAAAGGUGUCAACAAAUGCAGGCACACGCACCAAAACCAAAAUGAGCAAGGUUACCUGAAGUGUCUGAUGUUGGUAAUGCUGGCAAGGACAUCUCUGCAAGUUUAAGUACAAGUCAUCAGCGUAUGGUCAUUUAAACAAAUUAUCGAGUUAUUUGAAAACACAUGAACAGUAAAAAAUGGUAUUCCCAAUCAAUUACCAGGGGCACAAAGAGAUAACGACGUGAAAGACGACGAUGAGGGCCAUGGAGCUGCAAUAUUGUCACUUAGAUCACAUGUAAAGCUCAAGCCCGAUGAAUUAUCGAACACCAUAUCUGCAGGUAGGCUUCGUAGUAAACACCCUACAUUUGGGUAUAAAGAUUUAUUAGUCUUUAGCGCAAACUUAUUUCCAACAAUCUACUAGAAGUACCACCGCUUAAUCUACUUGAGAAAAAGCAUCUUACUUUCAAGUACAAAAGUUCAACAUGGCAGUUGCAGUGUUUGGCAAAUGUCAGAACCACUCUUAGUAAGCACAGGUAUGUCUCGAUAAGCCGUAUCUAGUAAGCUCUACAGUUAGUCGAAUUGGAAGCUAAAACGUGUUCAAAGGUAGCCCAAGAUGAAAUCAAUCUGAACUAACUUUACAAAGUCAAUUACUAUGGACUAAUUCAACUUUCUCGUCAUUAUUAAGUUACAAAAUAUUAUUUACUUGUCUUGUUAAAGUGAAUUUUUUGGAGAAAGUGUGGUUAGAAAGUAUGGAAAAGUUUUGAAUUUACGUAUAAAAUUAUUUUACUUGAAGAAAAUAUGUAGUUGAAUGGGCCUCAAUCAGGGGCUAUAAUUAAAGACACAAAUUAAUUUUUAUAGCUAGAUAAAACAGGUUUAUAUUAGAACUUGAUCAACUGACUGACUAAUGCAUGUGGUUCAGCCCAGGACCAAACCAACAACUAGAAGUGCCAAAUACAGUCCUAAUUUUGGUUUUCAUCAAUUGAUCUUUUACUAUAGAACCAGUAGAGACGAAAUCUGAAGGUGUAAUUGGUAAUUACUAACAAAAAUAUUUGCUUUUAUUCAAUUUCCUUUUAUAUUUAAGGGAAUGAGAAUAUACACAGUUAAGGACGAAUUAAGGGAAUGACGUGUUAGGUGUUUGGAUGUUAUGUAAGGAAGCAACAUAUUUAGGUUAUAAGAAUUUAGUUGCUUAGGAUCUUACAACAGAUGUAGCAAUGGAUCCAACAGAGAUGUGGGGGAAAAAAUGAUGCAUGCAUGCAGCUGACCACAAAUUACAGUGAGAAUAAGGCCGAGUCUUUUGUUGUGGUCAAUCCCAAUUAACGGAGGAGAAUAUAGGCGAGUGAAGGGCAGAAGAGCUAAAAUGCAAUCAAUAAAUCCACAUUCUCUCUCAGAAGUCAUCUGAAAUUGAAGGCAUAUGCCACACUCUGUACAAACCUAAAAAGAUUCACUUGAAAUUAACAAAAUAUAACCAAUGGCUGGAUUCUGCAUGAGAUUUCUGAUAAAAGCUCACACAGUACUUAAAUCAGCAGAAUCCUGAAAUAAAUGCAGAAUACGAAACCAGAUGCUUAGACAUAAGGCUGGACAACACGAAAAGAAAUGCUAGUAAUGUUGGAAUUUGAUUUAAAAGAGAUUAAACUUGGUAAAGUAUAAAACCAUGAAAAAAAAAAGACUUUUAGUGUCAACUUCAGCCAAAUAUUCAAACUUGAUUCGGUAGUCAAAUUAUGAAAAUAAAUAGAUUAACUUAUUCUACCCGUUGAAUAGAUGAUCACGGUAUAUUCGAAAUCUCAAAAUCAAUUCCAAAUGAAUGAGAAAUUAUGAUCCAAAAUUUGUAAGAAAAGAGGAAAAAUUGACCGGGAAUUUGCCUAAAUCCACCGCUCACCUAGUGCUCGAGUAGUGAGCGACAAGUCUCUGCAUAAACUAACACUGCUGGCGCUUGAGCAACGGGUUGCGACCCUUCACAUAGGCUGGUGAGUUUGGGGAGUAUCUCUUAACUCACACCCUCUCCUCUUCUAUAAAUAAGAUCCUUUAGACGUUCAUUACAAUAUUCUAAUCAUAUGCAAUAAUAGCAUAACAUAAAAUUCAUAUUUUCCUAGCCAAAAUUCUGCAUAAAAUUCUGUCUUUCAUUUCAAAAGAAAGGAGUACAAAAACCAUCAUUUGAUACGUUCUUGUAGCUUUGGAGUGCUAAAAACACAAGACGGUAGUCAUUGUAUCGUGAGAGUUGAUAAUCAUCAUUUGCAGGCAUCGUUGCAAGGCAAAAUUGACUCAAGGACAAAUAGUUCAACUCUUGCCUCGACUUUGCAUCCAUUUUACUUGGUGUUACUUUAUCCUUUUUCAUUGGCAUUUCUUUGGUGUUUUAUUACUCAUUUCCUAGCCGUUACUCUAUCCAAUUUGGUAAGGUUGGUAAGUUCUUAUUCAGUUAAAGAACUCACUCGAAUCCAUUUUAAAAACAAUAAGUAAAGCACAGCUGGAACAGUUGAAUACGGGCACAGAAACUAGACCUAUUUUUAAAAUUAACCGUGAGCUCUGACUAAACAAGAGUCAUGUGACUGCAAUUUUUGAUCGACAAACUGAGACAAUUAAACAAAGGGAAGCUCGUUGACUGCUGAGCUGUGACUAAAUCAGUAACUAGGCAAUCAAAUUUUUCCAUAGACAUCUUAAGAUCUUAUCAAACAAGAACAAUAGUCACACGAUAUUAGGGUAAUUGAAGAUGCUGAGCUGUGACUAAAUCAGUAACUAGGCAAUCAAAUUUUUUCAUAGACAUCUUAAGAUCUUAUCAAACAAGAACUAUAGUCACACGAUAUUAGGGCAAUUGAAGUGUUACCCAAACAGUAGCAAUUCAAUUACCGAAGAAGAAUGUCCCAAGCAGCUAAAACUACGUAAAACAGUAAGGACAUGCAGACAUCUUCAAGUUCAAGCGGGAGAAAAAGUUGAAAAAAAUGAAUGCUUUGCAAGCGAAUAAAAGGAAUUAUGCUCUGCAAAUAAGCAAUAAACUGCAUCCCACAAGAAAGAAAACCAAUAUAUAGAACACCAAAAAAGGAAUAUUAAAUGAAAGAGGACAAGGUGGACGAAGAGAGUACCUUCUUGUCCAUAUGCUGCUCCAUCACGAAACAGAGAGAGGAAAGAGAUUAUCAGAUCAGAGAAAUAACUUAACAAAAGAUUCCAGAAUGAAAUCAUAAUUCAAAUACUCACCUUGGAGACUAAAAUCUUUCAAGUCCACAUCACAAAGCUGAUAAACAUUAGUCAUCACCCCAGCCUUUUGUAGCAUGGACCCAAAUACAGUAGCGCAUAUUAUUGCUUGCCGAUUUGUAAUUAGCAUUUGCCUACGUACCCUCGCUAUGUAAGUAUUUAACGAACUACAGCAUGAAGGACUACGAGCAGAAACAUUUUGGCAUGCUUCAAUUACUUCUGAUGGUUGCCUUAAAUCCAAAGGGCAAACUGCAUCCCACAAGAUGAUCAUUUAGAAGACAAAAUAAUACAUCUAUCCAUUAUUCAAAACUAAGUAGCUCUGAUAUAGCGCACACAGAAUGACACUCAGAUUUCAAUAUCCACUCCAAUUCUUCUUUAAGGAUAGGAGAUAAAGCCUGUAGGAAAGGCGGCGGGAUUCAAAACCGCAAGCAGAUGCUGCAUACUUAACAAAGUUUAUAUCUAAAUGUUGUAGAACAUCUAAUCAGCUUGUCUUUGUGCAGAAUCCAUCAAAGCAUCCUAAUGGCUCUUAAACUAUCAUUUUUGCAAUAGGUAACUUUGAUAAACUAACUAAUUACUUGUUUCAGUCAUUGCAUGUGCUUCGGUACUUAUGAAAAUAAGAGGAACCAAUUGGAGUAGAUUAUUUUUAUUCAGUUAACAUAUCUUCAGCAUUGAUUUGUUAACACGUGCAUGCAGAAAAUAGAAACAGAAUAUUUUAUAUGAAUGGUUAUCACUAUUAACAAAAUGGCAAGGUCUCAUCAAUGAAAUUUAAAGCAUAAAGUAAUAUCAUAACCAUUCAAAAGAGGCUUCUAAAUAAGAAAUUCAAUGAACAAUAUCAGUUUCAUUGAAAAUCACCUUAAAUCCAACAUAACAAGAAACAUGUUAAGGAAAUUCACAUUCUUUUUUGAGUUAAAAGAGAAUAAAUACAUUCCAAUUUAAAACUCCUAAAUCUCAACUUUACUUUCCUAAAGCAGUUUAAGCAGUGUAUUCUUUCCUUAAUAAAUGUAGAAGACGUAGUGGACUUUAUAUUAGAUCAUUUAUUUUGAUCAGAUUGAGAUCCCCUGCAAAUCAGAAAAAGAGCAGAUCUACUGAAUAUUCCGCAGAAGUUCAGUCCAAUGAGGCCAAAUAUAAAGGCAAGGACAUGGCGGCAGAAUUAAAAUGUUUCGAAUUCAAGAUCCAUAACAAUCCUAUAGCAUAUGGGUGGAAAUAUUAUAGCACACACCUUUGUUAACCUUGCAGGCAGACAAUAUUCGAAAUGCUGUGUUAGCAGCAUCAUGAGGGAGUUUCUUUGAGAUCCAUGAAUAAACCACGCCUUUACAAUCAUUAAGCAUGUCAACAUGAUUUGAUGGUCCAAUUAUAUUCUUAUUGUCAUUCAAAAAUGACUGAGUUCCCAAGAUCUUAAGUGCAGCCUCCAUAAUUGCAGGCUGACAAAUUGGUCUGCAGCAUUCUUUGAGAGGAUCAACUUUACCGCAAGCCUCCAGUAAUUUGCUUGUGUUCACUGAUUUCUCGAAAGUGGUUAUGUCCUUCACUGGACAAGAACCACCAGUAAGAUUUGAAGAUUUUACAGAACAGAUGGUUGGUAGUGAGCUGUUUGCUCCUCUACUAGCAAGUAUACUGACAAUAUCUUUAAAACAAUCAUCGGCAACUGCAUUUUGUAAAACUAAAUUAUCAGAACGGGUGCUGUAAGAUCCCUGGAAUAUGUGGAGCAAGCUACUAAAUUGUGGGCAGCAUAUAACAUUUCCUACUACUGCUGCCAAAGGUUGAUUACAGUCACAUGCUGUUUUGUCCAUGAUACUCGAAAUGGCAGAGAAAUUUACAAGGCACCUUCCAGUCAGGACUGGAUCGUAUGUAGUUGGAAAAGUCGGAUACAUUGGUGGGAAAGAAUCCUCAGGAGAAGGCAGAUGAGGAAUUACAGCUGGUGAUAUUUCUAUGGGUUCGAAUAUUCCACUUUUUGGUGGGCUAGCCAGCACAGAUGUGGAAGAAAUGUGACUAGGCUCAGGGAGUGUCUGCAGAGCCAGCACAUUCCGAAAGCUAGACAACCAGACAGCAAAAAUUAGUAACUGAUGGGAGAAAGAACCUGCAAUACCAUUAAACAUUCCUUUAGAAUCAGGAUAUAUUCAAUUGUUUUAAUAGAAAACAUUGCAUGUUCGACGUUACCAUAUAAAAUGAGGACAUCCACCUAUAUUUGUUUUAUUUUAUUUGGACUCUUAUUUAUUUUAGUUGGACUAUUAUUUACAUUAGUGGACUUAUAUAAUGGGCUUGGCCCUUUCUCUUUAGGGUUUUUUUUUUUUUUUUUAAGGGUUUUGUUUUGCUAUUUAAAUCUGGUUUGUAAUGUAAUUGAAACAGUUGAUAAUUGAAUAAAAUAUUUGGUGGCUUGUGGCGAAAUUCCUCUCUUCCUCCAUUACUUGUUUCCUUCUUCUACUGUUUUCUUCUUUUGCCAUCUCUACCUCUGAUUUCUUCUUCAUUACUGAAUUAUUUCUCAUAUUCCAUUGGGUGUUCUAUUGGUGCUGCAUCAUAAAACCUCAAAACAUAAUGGGGCAUUGAUUCAAGAUGUUUUAAGUCAAAUGUAAUAGAACAUAAUCAUUAUAAGCAACUUGUACUUAAAGGACAGUAGGAAAAGCAUCACUAAUGAAAUGCAUUCAUUGCAUAUUCAGGUGAAUUACCAGCAUAUAUCCCUAGCUUACCAGCACAGAUACAACUAUGUUGAAUGCAUAUUGAAUUUAGCCUCUCUUUGAGCCCCAUUUUCUGAGAAUAGAUUUUGUAUUUUUUUAUUAUUAUUAUUUUAUUUUUUUUGAGAAUGUGUGGUUAAAAAAUUGGAAAAAGUUUGGAUUUACAUACAAAAUUAUUUUAUUGGGAGAAUUGGUGGUUGAAAAUGAGAUAAGAGGGAAAAUGAGUUUAAAAUAAUGGGGCUCAAACAGGGGCUUAAGAUUAGGGAACCGCUCCAUCUAAGCAAAGAAAUGUUCAAGAGAUCCCACACGAUUAGCAAGAAAAAGAGAUGGAAACGAAGGAAUAAAAUGGCAUGAGCUCCUGUCAUAGACGAACUUCAAUGAGUGAACUGAAUGGCACAAAAAAAGAAUACCAACUAAUUUUCAUGGUCCUUAGCCUUGCUCAAACUAAAAUUCAAAGAGACAUACUUCAAGCAGUUUCUUAAUAGAGAGAGAGAGAGAGAGAGGAGAAAAAAACUUUAAAGGAUGCUAGCACACAAUUUCACAUAAUUAUUCCUAGUCUGUCAAAAAUACCCAGAACACUACAAGGCCGACAUAGUGAAAUUUGAAAUAGGUAACUUACCCUUAACUCGGGUAGCAGUCUUUACACAAUCCAUAACCCCUACUAACCAUCUGGCGACAUGGAGACUCAGAAUAGAAAGCCAGGGGUAAUUAAAAACUGUCCUCGGAUACUAGUCAUAGCAUAUCGAAUACCUACAUAACAGGGAAAACAUUACUAUAAAUUUAGAAGGUGAUGCAGGGAACCAGCAAAGCCAUAAAUGUACGCAGAUAAUCUGAUCAUCAGUUUAUACUUAAGCAAAUUGUAAUGUAUCUGAUUUGCAAACCUAGAUAAUACAUCAUACAAACUAUACUAAAAUUGUAAUUCAAUAAGUGCUUCUUAUUGAAAUUUCCUAUUGACUUGUUUGGUGGAAAAAGGUCGUAUUUGCUUCAUAUUUCAUUGUCAAGAUUAAAAAUU